RNAcentral lists this long non-coding RNA (1040 nucleotides) under Triticum aestivum (bread wheat). Its description in RNAcentral is "long non-coding RNA (TAES_LNC015801)". The record is from RNAcentral. Lineage: Eukaryota; Viridiplantae; Streptophyta; Magnoliopsida; Poales; Poaceae.
UCGGACAAGCACCGGGGCAGAACAGUGGUCGGGCGAGCCAAAUCUCCUGUCCGCUUCAUCUUGUCUUCUCCAUAAACUUGACCAUAUACUCCAGCAGUACUCCAUGACAUUUGAAAUCAAGAUCAAAAACUGAUGGCAUGGGUGCACUAAUCAACAAAAUAGUCAUAGCAACAUUACUACUGCUUAGACUGGUGAUAUAUACAUGCAUGAAACAGAUCAAGCAACCAUUACUACUGCUAAGACUGCUGCUUGAACUGAAUUUUGAACUGCUACUUAGACUAGAGGACUAAAAUAUGGUUCCAGCAGUGUUACUACUCCAGACAGUGCAUCAAGCAGUGUGUUGUGACAACACAUUAUGACACAUUUCCAGCAGCAACAAAUCAGCAGCAACAGAACUUAUGGGCUUGCAUAAAUCAGCAGCAACAACAACAUAUGGGCUUGCAUAAAUCAGCAGCAACAAGAACUUAUGGGCUUGCAUAAAUCAGCACCAUCAACAACACAUUUUGAAGAGAGAUCUCACCAGCACCAGCAACCAUUGAUGGACUUGCAGGAGCAGGGGAAGAAAUUGUUGCUUGAAUCAACUAAUUUUGCUUGAACCAAUUAAUCUUCAGUUAACUGCUCCAGACAUAAAUCACCUUCUUGCUUCACCAGACAUAGAUCACCUACUGAAUUUAGUCAAUAACUAAAUUUGUCACUAACUGAAUCAGUUAUCUUCAGUUAACUACUCCACCAGACAGAAAUUUUGUCAGCUCACUUGCUUGCUUCACCAGACAGAAAUCAGCAGAUUGAAGUCGGACCUGUGCUGCCGUUGGCGAGCGAGCAGCAGAAGCAGAAGCAGCGGCGCCGGUGGAGCGAAGAGGGCAAACAAGCACGGGGUAGGCAAGACGAGCACGGGCCAGUGGCAUGUGGCUGGAGCACGGGGCAGUCCUCCAUCAUUAGUCCGCCAGCUCGAGGAGGGGAAUGCCAGCCGCCAGUGACGGCCUGCAUCUGCCUUUUGUGUAGGUAAUUUAUUUUGCACUCUAGUUGCAAGCUUGUUCAAA